AUUCCAUUAUGAGGGAACUUCCGUAAUAAUUCUUUGUACCUUUCCCAUGCCUCAUACAAUGACUCAUCAUCCAUUUGUUGAAAGCAGUGAUCUUGUUCCUCAACUU
This is a small nucleolar RNA of Gossypium raimondii (Peruvian cotton), 106 nucleotides long. It matches the Rfam family "Plant small nucleolar RNA R71". Rfam says of the family: R71 is a member of the C/D box family of snoRNAs containing the C (UGAUGA) and D (CUGA) box motifs. Lineage: Eukaryota; Viridiplantae; Streptophyta; Magnoliopsida; Malvales; Malvaceae. The record is from Rfam.